This 148-nucleotide small RNA is filed under the name Callithrix jacchus (white-tufted-ear marmoset). Its description in RNAcentral is "Metazoan signal recognition particle RNA (ENSCJAG00000073915.1)". The record is from Rfam by way of RNAcentral. Lineage: Eukaryota; Metazoa; Chordata; Mammalia; Primates; Cebidae.
GCUGGGCAUGGUGGUGCAUGCCUGUAAUCCCAGCUACUUGGGAGGCUGAGGCAGGAGAAUUGCUUGAACCCAGGAGGUGGAGGUUGCAGUGAGCUGAGAUUGUGCCAGUGCACUCCAGCCUGGGUGACAGAGUAAGAUUCCAUCUCAA